AUCGCUUCUCGGCCUUUUGGCUAAGAUCAAGUUCUCAUCAGGUUAAUAUCUGAUCGAUAAUAUAUUGUCUAUAUAUUAAAUUGAUUUUUUACAACGGGGAGACUGGAGAGGGGCUUGCUCCGUCCGCUCCACGCAUCGGCCUGGUAUUGCAGUACCUCCGGGAAUGGUGCACCUCCU
Molecule: small nuclear RNA, 177 nt
Organism: Pygocentrus nattereri (red-bellied piranha)
Lineage: Eukaryota; Metazoa; Chordata; Actinopteri; Characiformes; Serrasalmidae
Gene: U2
Rfam family: U2 spliceosomal RNA
About the family: U2 is a small nuclear RNA (snRNA) component of the spliceosome (involved in pre-mRNA splicing). Complementary binding between U2 snRNA (in an area lying towards the 5' end but 3' to hairpin I) and the branchpoint sequence (BPS) of the intron results the bulging out of an unpaired adenosine, on the BPS, which initiates a nucleophilic attack at the intronic 5' splice site, thus starting the first of two transesterification reactions that mediate splicing.
Source: Ensembl